GCUUCGGCAGCAACAUAGACUAGAAUUGGAACGAUACAGAGAAGAUUAACAUGGGCUCUGCGCAAGGAUGACACGCAAAUUCGUGAAGCGUUCCAUAAAAAA
Rattus norvegicus (Norway rat) is the source of this 102-nucleotide small nuclear RNA. The record is from Ensembl. NCBI's taxonomy places the organism in Eukaryota, Metazoa, Chordata, Mammalia, Rodentia, Muridae.